AGCCGGCGAUGUCCGAAUGGGGAAACCCAGUGCAAUUCGUUGCACUAUCGUUAACUGAAUACAUAGGUUAACGAGGCGAACCGGGGGAACUGAAACAUCUAAGUACCCCGAGGAAAAGAAAUCAACCGAGAUUCCCCCAGUAGCGGCGAGCGAACGGGGAGCAGCCCAGAGUCUGAAUCAGCUUGUGUGUUAGUGGAACGGUCUGGAAAGUCCGACGGUACAGGGUGAUAGUCCCGUACACCAAAAUGCACAGGUUGUGAACUCGAAGAGUAGGGCGGGACACGUGGUAUCCUGUCUGAAUAUGGGGGGACCAUCCUCCAAGGCUAAAUACUCCUGACUGACCGAUAGUGAACCAGUACCGUGAGGGAAAGGCGAAAAGAACCCCGGCGAGGGGAGUGAAAAAGAACCUGAAACCGUGUACGUACAAGCAGUGGGAGCACCUUCGGGUGUGACUGCGUACCUUUUGUAUAAUGGGUCAGCGACUUAUAUUCUGUAGCAAGGUUAACCGUAUAGGGGAGCCGCAGGGAAACCGAGUCUUAACUGGGCGUUAAGUUGCAGGGUAUAGACCCGAAACCCGGUGAUCUAGCCAUGGGCAGGUUGAAGGUUGGGUAACACUAACUGGAGGACCGAACCGACUAAUGUUGAAAAAUUAGCGGAUGACUUGUGGCUGGGGGUGAAAGGCCAAUCAAACCGGGAGAUAGCUGGUUCUCCCCGAAAGCUAUUUAGGUAGCGCCUCGUGAACUCAUCUUCGGGGGUAGAGCACUGUUUCGGCUAGGGGGUCAUCCCGACUUACCAACCCGAUGCAAACUACGAAUACCGAAGAAUGUUAUCACGGGAGACACACGGCGGGUGCUAACGUCCGUCGUGAAGAGGGAAACAACCCAGACCGCCAGCUAAGGUCCCAAAGUCAUGGUUAAGUGGGAAACGAUGUGGGAAGGCACAGACAGCCAGGAUGUUGGCUUAGAAGCAGCCAUCAUUUAAAGAAAGCGUAAUAGCUCACUGGUCGAGUCGGCCUGCGCGGAAGAUGUAACGGGGCUAAACCAUGCACCGAAGCUGCGGCAGCGACACUAUGUGUUGUUGGGUAGGGGAGCGUUCUGUAAGCCUG
Molecule: ribosomal RNA, 1105 nt
Filed under: Klebsiella pneumoniae
Lineage: Bacteria; Pseudomonadati; Pseudomonadota; Gammaproteobacteria; Enterobacterales; Enterobacteriaceae
Description: partial 23S ribosomal RNA
Rfam family: Bacterial large subunit ribosomal RNA
Source: RNAcentral